CUAAUUUCUUUCUCUCAGUAUGCCAAGAGAAAUACUUGUCAGGGUACAAAGUGAGGCUGAAAAUAGGAGAAUUUAUGAAAAAUAUUUUAAAAGUGCAUUUAGGCUUUCAGAACCUCUCUCCCACUCUGUCUCCUCAAAGGCUUUUAAUUACCUUGCCCUGACUCUGGCAGAUGGCAUAGGUACUAGCAAAAUAGCUAAUUCCCCAUGUGAUCUCCGCACAGUUGAAGGCCAUCAUUUAAUAAUUCCUGCACACACCACAGAACCUUAAGACAGAAUUUCACUGCCUCGUUUGUUGGUUUUUUUUUUUCUAGGUGAAAAUAGUAUAAUAUACAUUAACACAGAUUCAAAAAUUACCACAGUUUUGUCUUAUGUGUUUCAUCUGUCCCAUUUUUUUUUUGUUGUUGAAGCAAUUUAAGGAAAAUCCAAGACUGCAUGCUAGUUUCACCUCCAUUUACUUCAGUGUGAUAUGCCAUUUUCUUAUACAACAACAGUAUUAUUAUUCCCAAAUUAGCAAUAGUUCCUCAGUAUUUUCUAAUUCCCAGUUCAUAAUCAAAUUUCCUCAAUAUUAAAAAAAAUUGUAGUUUGUUUGAAUCUGGUUCUACACAAGGUCUACAUGUCACAUUUAAUUGUCACUUUUGUUACUUCUCUUUAUCUAGAAAAGCCACUCCCUCUUUUCUCCAUCAUUAGUAACUUAUAGAAAUGGGACCAAUUGUCCUCAUUUGUAAAUAUGAAUAGAUAACAAAGGAUCUCCAGACUUGUAAGGAAGGCUUCAAAUGUGAAAGAAGGGAAGCAAAACAAAGAAAAAAUUUAAAAAGCCAGAGGAACAGAAGCUAUGAAGUGAGCUGAAGAAAACUUUAAAAUACACCAUAAUUGGGGUCCUUGGGUGGCUUAGUUGGUUAAUCAUCCGACUUCAGCUCAGGUCAUGAUCUCACAGUUUGUGAGUUCAAGCCCUGCAUUGGGCUCUGUGCUGACAGCUCAGAGCCUGGAGCCUGUUUCAGAUUCUGUGUCUCCCUCUCUCCCUCUUCCCCUCGCCUGCUCACACUCUCUCUCUUUCUCAAAAAUAAUAAAUUAAAAAAAUAAAAAAUAAAUGAUAAAACACACAGUAAUUGAUACCUUCAAAAAAUAAGAAAAGAAAUUGUAAUCAUGAAAUAAGAACAAGAAAUAAUUCUUGUAGACUUUUGAAGAAUAAGAAAGAAUUCUUGGUAAUUAAAAUUUAACAGAAAUUAAAAAUUUCGUAGACAGGAUGGAAGAUAAACAAAAUGUCCAAAGUAGUAAGAUGGCAAAAAAUUUAAGAAAAUUAGAAAAUCUCUUCAGAAGGUCCCACAUCUAAACAGAAAGAUGUUCCAGAAAAGAAAAGAAAAAAAAAAAAAAACAUAGAAAAUGAAGGGGAAAGAAUCAUUUUCCUUAGGGUAAAAUUCCUGGAACUAAAGAACACCAGUUUUCAAAACAUCAUGUGCCCAGCAAAGAGAAUGACAAAAGACUGAUACAAUAAUAUAUUGUGAUGAAAUUUAAGAAUACUAAGUGAAAAGAGAAAAAUCUUAAAGCUUCUGAACCAGGGCAGGGGCAGAGUGAGGAGAACCUACCAUGUAUCAUACAAAGAAGUAGAAAUUAGACCGGCAUUGGACUUUUCAGAAACAGCACCAUAUGUUAGGAAACAGAGGAAAAGUGCCCUAAUUUUCAGAUGAAGAAUAUUUUUUCUCAUCUAUGAUUCUAUAUUUAGCUAAACUGUCUAGUCUGAGAUAUAAUACAUUUUCACAUAUUCAAGUUCUUAAAAUUACCUCUCACGUACAAAACAAAAAACAAAAAACAAACAAAAACAAAAAACAAACUCCUGGAGGAUUUAUUCCACCAAAAGGAGAACACCAAGAAGGAGGAAGACUUUAGAGCCAGGGUACAGGGUACCGACAUGAAAGAGAGCUAAGGACAGUUCCUGAAAUGGUAAGAAAGGCAAGUCACAGGGUGACAGUUGUUUAGUGAAACUGGAGAAUACCCAGACAGGAGCAUGGGAAUAGAGAGCUCUGGGAAGGAUGUUUCCUGGAAAAGAAAUGAUAUGGAAGAGUUUUCCGCUGUGUCUGAAGAUAUUGAGAAAGCAGAAUUAGACCUCUGUCAGAUUUGGAAGAUGUAUCAAAGACAGGUACACAGAAAACUAAGAAGAAAAGGAGAUGGGUUUUCAAUCCAGGGACACCAAAAAGUUGUACAAGAAAAGAAAUGUGAUCAUAACAUAACAGCUCACUAGUGAAGAAUAAUAAUUUGGGAUGUAAGUAUGCAGUUAAAAAGUCAACAAAAUGAAUUUCAGAGAGUACAGAGAGAAUUGAGUCAUUUGCAACAUGAAUUAAAUAUUAAACAGAGACAAUCACAAGCAUUCAGUCAAAGAUUGGUGGAGUACAAAUAUUUGUGGAAUAAGACUCUUUCAUUACUUACUUUUACUAAAAGGGAGCUAACCAGUAUUAAAAAUGAAGUAUAUGACAAUUUUCAAAACUGGACUUCACUGAAAGGAGAAGUUUUUCUACAAAUUAAAUCCAUAAGUGAAACAGCCUUGACAGAAAUAGAGAUACUAAAGAAAAGUUUGACAGUGUCCCAGAGAAAUAAGAUGUGCCUUGAAGAGGAAAUGAAAAAUCUGAAAUUGUUGUCAGAUGCAGCCAUACUGAGGUCUCAGCAGAUUCAGACAUCCAAACAACAGGAAGUAAACUUGCAAACCAGAUGCCAUGACUUGGAAAAAGAAGUACUAGGUUUACAAUGUCAAGUAGAGGCACUUGGGCUAAAACAUCAGAAGGCAGUGACAGAGAUUGACAACUAUAAAGAAAAGCUCAUGAAUAAAUCUAAUGAAGCUGAUGACUGUCAAAGAGAACUUAGAAAACUGAAGUUUGAAUCCAUUAUUUCUGAGUCACGGCAUACCAGAUUGCUUAAAGAGAAAGAGGAUUCUUUAAUAGCUUCUCAACAAAUAUAUAAAACUUUACAGGAAGAACUGACUGCGAAAGAAAGACAAGAAGAAGACAUAAAAAGAAGAAUUAACUUUGCAGAAAAUGAACUACAGAUAACCAAAACUCUUCUGCAUCAGACAAAGGAAGAGGUUGUAACGCUGAAAAGUGAAAGGGAAUUAAUGCUGAUUUCACAUCAGAAAAGCAUCGAGCAGCUGCAGGAAACCCUUAGACAGAAGCUGCUGAAUGAUGAUAACUGGAGAGAGAAGAUUGAAGCUGAACUUGCCAAGGAAAGAGCCCAGCAUUUAGUUGAGUUUGAGGAGCAAGCUCUGCUUUUCAAAGCAGAAGCUAAACUGGAACUUGAUAUUGAAAAGGAAAAACAUCAAGAAAUAAUCUGUAAAUAUAAGAAAGAACAAGAGGAACUAAAAAUGAAGAUAUCUGAUUUAAUCGCAAGUGCUACUAGAGAUCUAAAGCUGGAAGUGGCCACCCUUGAAGAAAAACUCCAUGAAUCUUGUAUCCGACAUACUGAAGAUUCUGAAUCAAAGGAGAAAGAAAUUGAAAACCUUAAAAAUUUGGUUGCAGAAUUUGAAGCCCGCCUGAAGAAAGAAACUGACAGUAACGAUUCCAUUUCAGAGGACUUGAGGAAGGAAAUGAAGCUGAAGUCAGAUGAGCUAGAUAGAGUAAUGCUGGCACAAACACAACUGAUGCAGCAGUUUAACCAGUCCCAGGAACAGAACACUUUUCUUCAGGAAACAGUGCGCAGGGAGUGUGAAGAACGCUUUGAACUGACAGAGGCUUUGAGCCAAGCCAGAGAACAGCUUCUGGAGCUCAGGAAGCUCAGUGGAAGUUUACCUUUGUCGCCGUGUUCCCUUAACCAGGGCAGCCUAACCUCCUCUGCUGCAGUGGUCAGCAGCCAGGGAGAGAGAAGCCUUACAAGACUGAACUCUGGAAAAGGAAUCAAAAUCCCCAGCCUGCAUGGAGUGUCAAAACCCACCACUGCCCCAACCUCAGUUCAACCCAAGAGGGUCAGCAGCUCAGGUACAUUCUUAACUCUCAAUGGCCCCCAGAUACCCAGAGUUUCUGCAACCAUCCCCACCCCUCCAGAAUUAGGACAGCUCUCGAAGGACACAGGGAAAGAUUCCAGGGAAGGCAAAUCCAACCAGCCUCACCAGGUUCAAGCGCUUGCCCUGGGGCCAGGGACAGGAAGGCACCUUGACUAAACAGCUUCCCAUGUGUGGGAGAGGUAAUUACCAGAGGAAGAAGAGACCAGAUUCCUUCCGCAGAUACCUCCAUCAUCAAGCCAGGCAGUGACAGCAUGGCAAAGGGGACAGUGUUUUAUUUGCUUUGUGUGUUUGGGGUAACUAAGUGCUGGCCCCAUGAAGCCUGACCAGUGGGAUUUUGCUAACUGUGAGGAGGCAGCCUGGAUAUAUCACAGCAAGAAGACGGUUUCCACAGGGCACGAAGCUGGAGGGUGUUAUCUCUGUCACUGUUCACGAGGCAGCGGUGAGGUAGGCACCAUUACUUCCACGGGUGCUCACAAGGACCCUGAGGCUGGGAGAAGCCCAGUGACUAACUCAAACCCCAUGACCAUGCGCUGGCAGCCUAAAACCCAGCAGGGCUUUCUGACUCUGACUGUGCUUUGCAUUCAGUAAGCCCUGAUUUUAGUUUCCCCCACCAGUACGACUAUACCGAUCUCCGCCUGCCAGCUCUCUCUCCAGCCAGCCCACAGGGGUCAUCUCCUUGGCAGCUGAGGCAGACAGAAGGGGCCAGACACUCAGCCAGGGCCUGGAGCCCACUGGCCCCGGGGCCCCACGUGCACUCUGGACCACAUCUCAUGCUGCCCGCCCUGCAUUCCAAACCCCGGUCACAGCUCCAGAAAGAUGCACAUUUUAAAGCAGUACUAUUGUCUGGCUUGUAAGCCUAGUUUCUGAGAGAGAGAGAGAGAGAAUGAAUCUCAAGCAGGCACCACGCCGAAUGUGACCUUGGGAUCAUGACCUGAGUGGAAAUCAAGAGUCAGCUGUUCAACCGACUGAGCCACCCAGGUGCCCUGACCCAGCAGCCAUUUAAAGGUUUGUCCCUAUGGAUGCCUUCAUGAUUUCUGUCUAGCUUUCUCUAAAAAUGAAGUGGAGGAACGUCCGUGAUGCCUGGAACAUAUCAAUUCAAAGGUCAUGAGUUGAAAUGUGAUUAACAACUCAGAUUACAGGAUUGUCAACUUCCAAGCUCCCAUGACCUUAACUGAAGGGCUGAAGGGUUGGGUCGAGACCAAGAGGGCUUAACAACACUGUGAGCUGCCAUAGCAUUGGAUGUGCUGAGUGCUCAAAAUUCAGGUAUUGUCCGAUUAAUCCACAUAUUCUUUUACUACACACUUAGGGGACGCUAUUAUAAGAUUCCCGCAUCAGCUAGGAAUUCAGUUAGCUACCAGAUGCCCUCCUGCUGGGAUCGUGGCUUCUACAAAACAGCCACUGGCCCAUCUCAGGAGCGGUGUUUUAUCACUAUGCUAUGCUAGGCACUAGGGACCGGAAGGUGAAGGAAAGUGUCCUUCCCCCCAGGAGUUGCAGCCUAGCAGGCCCAUCAAUCAGGAUAGCACAGUGCGGUGUGCUACAGCACAGGCAGGGGCAAGGUGCCGUGUCCCCAAGGCAAGGGACAGGAGCUCUGCCUGACUGAAUCAGGAAGGUUUUCCAGGAGGCACAUCUAAGCCAGGUGUCAAGGGGUAAGCAAGAAUUUAUCUGGAGAAGAGGAGACUGGUUGUUUCGGGCAGAAAAAAGUAGCUUAUACAGAGACACGAAGACACCUAAGAAUAAGGUGUGACCAAAAAGUAAUGGCCCAUGGGUGAUGGUGGGGCUAUAGCAGGAGGUGAGACUGGAGACGCCACUGGUGGGUCACGUAGGCCCUUCACUACCUGCUUUGGGUACUGGUGUUAGUAUUAGAGGUUCUCUUCCUGCAUGACAAAUCACCCCAAAACUUAGGUGCUUAAAACAACAAACAUGUAUUCUCUCACCAUUCCUGCGGGUCAGGAAUCCAGGCAUGGUUUAGCAGUCCUCUGACUCAAGGUCUCACGGGCUGCAAUCCAGGUUAUCAGCCAGGGCUGCAGUUACCUCAAGGUUCGACUGGGGGAGGAUCACCUUCCAGGCUCACUUGCCUGGCCGUUGGCCAAUCUCAGGUCCUCGCUGGCUGCUUGCUAGAGACAUCAGUUCCUUGCCACAUGGGCCUCUCCAUAGGGCAGCUCACAACUUGGCAGCUGGCAGAGAGAGAGAGAACGAGAGAGAGAGAAAGACAGAUGACAGAGACAGAGAAACAGGGAGAGAGGUCGAGAGAAAGACACGGUCUUUUUGUAAUCUAAUAUCAGAAAUGACAUCCCAUCACUUUUGUUCAUUCUGUUGAAAGAGACUCACCAGGUCCAGCCCACAUGCCCACAGGUGAGGGGGUUUACACAGGGUGUGAAUACUCGCAGGUGAUGAUCACUGGGGUCAUUUUAGAGGCUGCCUACCACAUACAUGAGAGCUAUUUAAGACACAAUCCCAGCAUCAUCCCAUUCUGCAUAAAUUAUAGAGAGAGACAUACAAUUUCACUGCCUAUGAGGUUGUUUUUGUUGAUGGGUACACUCUGGUCCCGAAGAGCCCUGAAGAACAAUGUGCUUCAUUUCACAUCUCUCCCUAAGGAUUUUGUACAACCCACUUGGCACUCACGCCGUUAUUAUUACGUGGAUUCAGCCCAAAGCUGCCUGUGUGGGUAGACAGAGGUGGGAAGGUGGGGAGGCAGAGAGAGGAAGUGAUCGGGACCCCAGAAUGAACGAGAAAAAGGUCACACGCCAACUGAAAAUUAGAAAUGAAUCUGAGUGGAACUAAGUAUUGUGGUUGACAGCUCACACACGCGGAGCCAACUUGCCACAGCUUGGCCGCGGACCUUGGUUUUCCCACAUGCAACUGAAAAUAACUAACAUUCAUCCUGAGGGAGUGCCACUAAAAUAAGUAACUACUGGGAGCUAUACCUCACUGUUCAUUCAAGCUGGAAGCAGUCUGCAAUUACUUGGCUGAAAUUAGACACAAAUUAAAUUGCCACUUCCGGAACCCUUUUCUCCGGUACUAUAUUGCAAAACAGAAACUGCUUUUUGAACUCUGACGGUUUAGAUUGUGUUUCCUUUCUUACAAAUAAAUGCGAUAUCCGACAGACUCUCCACAAGGGCAGAUUACUGACACUAACCUCUCGGGAGACCUAAUCUUUUCAGAAGCCUGGUUUUCUGAGUUGCAGACCUGGGUUUAAUUGUUAUGGACAGAGUGACAGGCUGGUAAAAGGGACUAGAGAGGAGAGCAACUUGCCCACAUUUGAAGUAGAGUGCAUGGUGGAGGAGAGAGGGCUAGCAGAGAAUUUUGCCCUGAGAUAUAUGUGGAUGGCUUUGCUCCCAGUUGUUUUGGUCAUCUGAAAGCUCUCAGGCCUGCAUCCAUCUAAUUUUUUUUUUUAAUUUUUUCACUCUGUGUUUGAGAGAGAGACAGAAUGUGAGCAGGGGAGGAGCAGAGAGAGAAGGAGACACAGAAACCGAAGCAAGCUCCAGGCUCUGAGCUGUCAGCACACAGCUGGACACGGGGCUCGGAUUCAUGAACCGCGAGAUCAUGACCUGAGCCGAAGUUGACUGCUCAACCAACUGAGCCACCCAAGGCACCCCAUUCUGCAUCCAUUCAAAUAUGGAAGUUCUCCUAUGAUUUUUAAAAACAAAAUUAACACACAUACGUGAAAACAGUAAUAAUGAUACCUCGAGGGUCUCCCCUCAAACUUGUCUAAGAAGGAACUGGCAUGCAGAUAAUGUGGGUGUUUGGGGGUUUUCUGUUACAAAAGAGCCCUGAACUGUAUUAUCUCCUUAAUAAAACACCAUCUUCCUGUCAAGGAAGAACCUGCCAUUGGAAGAUGUGGACGGAUAUCAAAGAGCCCAGCUGUGCUGGAACCUAGGAGGCAGUGGAGGCUUUCAGGGGAGGUGGCUUCUCCAUAACUUUGAAUUCUAACUUCCCUUUGCAGAAGGGCAAAGAGUACUUUCUUCCCGUUGUUGGAGACAUUAGUUAGUCACAGAUGAAGCACACUUAAAACUAACCCCCACCCCCUUUCACCAGCUCCACACAUUCUCACCCUAUAUACUUAUUCUGAUCUGGUGAAUCUUAGAAGUGACAAAUUAAACAAAGAGGUUUCCAGGUAUCCUCUCCUCCUCCA
Neofelis nebulosa (Clouded leopard) is the source of this 8114-nucleotide RNA transcript. It is a transcript of the gene named leucine, glutamate and lysine rich 1, with no coding region annotated. The record is from RefSeq and is a predicted model, not a curated record. NCBI's taxonomy places the organism in Eukaryota, Metazoa, Chordata, Mammalia, Carnivora, Felidae. The transcript has 20 exons.